UUCACGAUGGACCUCCAUCUUCUUUCCGUUGAACUCCAUCUCGUUUCAACCCAGCACCUCAAUCUCCAUUGAACCCUAAAUCCUUAGUUCCUUUGUUUCGACUCAAUACCUCCAGAAAGAACCCACCGUUGAACCCUAAAUUCUUGCUAUGAAUACCUCUGUUUCCCUCACGCCCUUCUUUUAUCGUAUAUGUUUUAGGUUGUUACGCGAAAGGCAAAGAAUCAACAUACCUGGAAAGGCUAGCUUUGGGGAAAUUCGUGUUGCUUUGCAGGUGCUCAAAGAAUAGGGUUUAUCUGUAUGCAGGCCAAAAUGGUUGAAUUAACUUUAAAGUUCCACAAAACAAGAUGAUUUGGUCAACAACUCUGGUAUAAUUGCACCUAGCCGGCGUCGUUAUUUCAUACCAUAACUUAAUUGAUAUGCAAAAACAUGGUUGGGAAGAACCUACAAUUGAUUCAAAGCAACAGUGAAGAAAAGGAGGACCUGGUAUCUGUUCAAGAAUAUGUAGAAGCUAAGGAAGCUAUUCUAACCUGAUCAACUGAUGCAAAUGAGGGACUUCUUGAAAACAUGAGAGGUACUGCUGACUUGGUUUGGAAAAUGGCAGAGGAGUGUGCUUAGGUUAAUUUUAGUUUGAUUGCUUUGGUGUUUUGAACUCAUCAGCUGGUUGCAGGAAAUGGUAUGCUGGGAGCUUAUUGUACUUAACACCUUUAUAUAUUCAGCUAGCUUCUUGAGAUCAUAGAACCUUUGUAUUAGCAUUAGCAUAAGUUUGUUUUGGUGGUGAGAGUUAUAUGUACUUAGCUUCUUGAAUAUUGUUUCAGCCCACAUAAAUCUUGUAUAUUAUUCAUGUUAUAUAUUGGAAAUAUUACUUUUUUGUCCUCUAUAAAGUUUUCAUUUUAUUA
Long non-coding RNA from Trifolium pratense (red clover), 896 nucleotides. RefSeq lists it as uncharacterized. Lineage: Eukaryota; Viridiplantae; Streptophyta; Magnoliopsida; Fabales; Fabaceae. The transcript has 5 exons. The record is from RefSeq and is a predicted model, not a curated record.